AUGGGAUCUAUAAAGAAACAUCUGAGAUCCUCAAACAUUACAGGAGUCAUUUGUAAUAUCACAGAGCUUUGAUCAGUGCUACUGUAUUCUCAACUAGCAGACAUACAGUGCCUCCUGAUCACACAGACUUUUUUUCACUGUGGCACAUUGGCUCUUAAGAUGUGGGCGUAAUGACUGUUUAUGCUAACCGCAUAGUUUAGUCUUAGAGAACGCUGAGGAUGCUGCCAGAGGAAAUGGGUUUGGAUGUUAAAGAGCGAUAGACCGCAUACCCUGCUGUGUGUUUGAGUAGCUAGCUAGUCAUCCUAUGGAUAAUAUGGUUCACACAAACAACAGACAUAUGAGAAGCACGUACGGCACACACUAAAAUGGUGGUUUUGAUGGAGAUGAGAGGGGAAAUCAUUAUCAAAGUGUUGGAGAUGGGAGGGGAAAUCAUUAUCAAAGUGUUGGAGAUGGGAGGUGAAAUCAUUAUCAAAGUGUUGGAGAUGGGAGGUGAAAUCAUUAUCAAAGUGUUGGAGAUGGGAGGUUAAAUCAUUAUCAAAGUGAUGGAGAUGGGAGGUUAAAUCAUGAUCAAAUUGUUGGAGAUGGGAGGUGAAAUCAUUAUCAAAGUGAUGGAGAUGAGAGGUGAAAUCAUUAUCAAAGUGAUGGAGAUGGGAGGUUAAAUCAUUAUCAAAGUGAUGGAGAUGGGAGGUGAAAUCAUUAUCAAAGUGAUGGAGAUGGGAGAUUAAAUCAUUAUCAAAGUGAUGGAGAUGGGAGAUUAAAUCAUUAUCAAAGUGUUGGAGAUGGGAGGUGAAAUCAUUAUCAAAGUGAUGGAGAUGGGAGAUUAAAUCAUUAUCAAAGUGAUGGAGAUGGGAGGUUAAAUCAUUAUCAAAGUGAUGGAGAUGGGAGGUUAAAUCAUUAUCAAAGUGAUGGAGAUGGGAGGUUAAAUCAUUAUCAAAGUGAUGGAGAUGGGAG
This 951-nucleotide long non-coding RNA is filed under the name Salmo salar (Atlantic salmon). RNAcentral's name for it is "lncRNA (ENSSSAG00000094617.1, ENSSSAG00000117184.1)". Lineage: Eukaryota; Metazoa; Chordata; Actinopteri; Salmoniformes; Salmonidae. The record is from RNAcentral.